This 749-nucleotide long non-coding RNA is filed under the name Panax ginseng (ginseng). RNAcentral describes it as "long non-coding RNA (PGIN_LNC003358)". The record is from RNAcentral. Lineage: Eukaryota; Viridiplantae; Streptophyta; Magnoliopsida; Apiales; Araliaceae.
GAUGAAAAAAUCCAAGUAAGCUAAUUAUUAAAAAACUAUAAUUACAAAUGACCCAUUGAGAUUCAGUUUUUGUAUCAUAGUUGUUUCAGUCGCUCAGAUUUAUUCCACGACUUACUUGGGAUUUAUAAUCACAAUCCCGAACAUUUUCUUUUCAUUUUUCCUGGGCAUGGGGCUUAAAAUGAUGUUCACUUGUAUACUUGUAUAUCAGUAUUCUCCUUUUUGAAGCUCUUUUCAAGCCCCUAGAAAACAUAUUUACGUAUUGCUGUUCUCCUUUCUGAAGCCGACAGAAGAGAACCCCGACAAUCUUCUGUUGCUGUUGGCCAGUAAGAUAUACAAGGUAAAAACAUUUUACCCUUGUGUUUGUAUUUUUUUAAUAUUGAUUUCCAUCUAAUUCACACUUGGGCAUGACAUUUUUUUGUCUUUCCCGUUUAUACGUUAGCUUAUAGCAUUAUUUAACAGGUUUCCAUAGUUUUACUCUCCUGUUAUCUUGAUACUACACUAUACGGGUUUCAGAGGAUUCUUGUUGAAGGAUGCCUAUUUGUUUGCUUGGCACUUACAGGCACAAAGAUUUAUUUCGAUCACGAUCUUCCUGAUUUCUGUAGUAGAAAAAUUUUGUAUGGUAUUUUACCUUUUAUUUCAUACUGGACCCAAUUAAUUUGCGGUGAAACUAGUUUUCUAAAUUGGGUAGAAGAUGAAGGUUUUCUUAGUUAUUGACGUCGUCUGUUAUAUAUUUUGUCCUUUGUUUGUAG